UAGUCAUAUGCUUGUCUCAAAGAUUAAGCCAUGCAUGUCUAAGCACAAGCCGAUUAAUGGUGAAGCCGCGAAUGGCUCAUUACAACAGCCAUAGUUUCUUAGAUCUUACUUUUCUACUUGGAUAACUGUGGUAAUUCUAGAGCUAGUACACGCAAACAAGCUCAGACCUUACGGAAUGAGCGCAUUUAUUAGAACAAAAACCAAUCGGGCUUCGGCCCGUCAUUUGGUGAAUCUGAAUAACUUUGCUGAUCGCACGGUCAUCGUACCGGCGACGUAUCUUUCAAAUGUCUGCCUUAUCAACUUUCGAUGGUAGUUUAUGCGCCUACCAUGGUUGUAACGGGUAACGGAGAAUAAGGGUUCGACUCCGGAGAGGGAGCCUGAGAAACGGCUACCACAUCCAAGGAAGGCAGCAGGCACGCAAAUUACCCACUCCCGGCACGGGGAGGUAGUGACGAAAAAUAACGAGACGGCUCGCUAUGCGGUCCGUCAUCGGAAUGGGUACAAUUUAAAUCCUUUAACGAGGAUCUAUU
Molecule: ribosomal RNA, 530 nt
Filed under: uncultured eukaryote
Lineage: Eukaryota
Description: SSU rRNA
Rfam family: Eukaryotic small subunit ribosomal RNA
Source: RNAcentral